GUGCUCACUUCGGCAGCACAUAUACUAAAAUUGGAACGAUACAGAGAAGAUUAGCAUGUCCCCUGCGCAAGGAUUUCUCUAUAUGCAUUAUUAUAUAAACAUGUCU
This is a small nuclear RNA of Sorex fumeus (smoky shrew), 106 nucleotides long. The record is from RefSeq and is a predicted model, not a curated record. NCBI's taxonomy places the organism in Eukaryota, Metazoa, Chordata, Mammalia, Eulipotyphla, Soricidae.